Molecule: ribosomal RNA, 254 nt
Filed under: uncultured bacterium
Lineage: Bacteria
Description: partial 16S ribosomal RNA
Rfam family: Bacterial small subunit ribosomal RNA
Source: RNAcentral
UACGGGGGGAGCAAGCGUUGUUCGGAUUUACUGGGCGUAAAGGGCGCGUAGGCGGUCAGCACAAGUCAGUUGUGAAAUCUCCGGGCUUAACUCGGAAAGGUCAACUGAUACUGUGCGACUAGAGUGCAGAAGGGGCAACUGGAAUUCUCGGUGUAGCGGUGAAAUGCGCAGAUAUCGGGAGGAACACCAAUGGCGAAGGCAGCUCGCUGGGACGUUACUGACGCUGAGACGCGAAAGCGUGGGGAGCAAACAGG